CUGCAAAUGCGAACUCAAAGGUGGCUAUCAGGCAUGUGCUCAUCCAAUCUUAACCACCAGGAACAUGGGAUCACGGCCAUCCAUAAUACACACCCUUCUCUUGACCAGAUCAGGUGUAACAAACGUACCAAAUAGUAGCAAAAGCUAAUAAAACUCUACAUCUGACCCUGGACCUCAAUACCCUCCACCCAAACCCCUAAGGUAUAGCUAUUCUCCCCUUUCGUCCCCUCUUUUCUCUCUCUCCCUGACGUUCCCCUCCUCUCUCUUCCAUCUCCUCUUCCUCUAUCCUCUCCUCUUCCACAUUCAUUCUAUCCUUCUCUACUUCAUCCCUUGCCAUUAUCAAGGGAGCUCAAACAACAAAUCAACCACAAAUCAUUCAACGGCCACCUUAGCCUCCGCUUCUGCUACUAUUCCAUCCAGAUCUUUGACCUUAACCCAUUUCUUCAAGAUCUUCGACCUUAACCCAUUUCUUCAAGAUCUUCGACCUUAACCCAUUUCUUCAAGAUCUUCGACCUUAAACCAUUUCUUCAAGAUCUUCGACCUUAGCUCAAUCUCCAACCAAGGUUCAUGUCUCUAGCUAGUAACCCAAGCUUGAUACUAACUCUUACCUUGUCUUCAACCUUGACUUUGUCAUCCUAACUGCCCUAGCACAAUAUCUACCUCUAGUUCAAUCAUCUCCAUCCACAUGAAGAUCAUGCUCACUAGCUUGACCUCUAUCCACAACAUAGAGAUGCCAUACCAAGGCAAACCUAUGGCCAUAGGACCCCAUCUCCACGUACAUAUGCCUCACCCCACCACCAUGGCGGCCCCAAUGCUAGUCGACAACGCAUCAUCAAUAAUGCAAAAUCUUAGCUGAUCCCUUUCGUUUUCUUUUUUUGCUUAGCUUCAAUCAUCAUCCAGGUUCAGGUUGAGUCAUCCAGCUAGACAAAUCCACUUGGUUUCAACCUUCUAAAAUAUACAUAACAUCUUUAAAUAAGUUAUUUGAGGCAAGUCUUGCCUACAUUUCACAUGUCCGAACCAAGGUUUGUCAACUUGAUGCUGGACCCAUACUUGAACCACCUUGGUAUGGUGUCGGUAUGCCCGAUACAGUAGUUGAUUUCAAAUACCGACACUCAAUAUGCCCCCUAUACCACUGUAUUCGACUUGGUACCAGUAUAAUACAGUAUGCACCAGUACUAACUGGUAUAACAUACCAUGGCCCAAACCAUUGUACACAAUCUCACCCCAUUCAUCCUCUAUUAUGCAAUUCCACUUACAGCAUGCUCCAUCUAGUGUAAUUUAACUAUAUAAAUCUACAAUAUGUCCAUCUUUACAAGGUUUAUUUUUUGUAGGCCAUUUUCAUUGUCCAACGUUUUAAUAAUGCAUGUUUCAUUUAAACUCACUCAACAAUCACAUCAUAAAUUAAUUUCAAACAAAUCUCAAAUAAAUGCAAUAACAUUCCACAUCAUGGUCAAGGUUAUUCAACACAAUAAAUUAGCUUCACUAGGCAUUGAAGAACAUCUUUCAACUUGAACUUGGAAACUCCUCAGGCAAGUAACUGAAUGCUUGAGCGACAAUUAUAAACAAGUGAAUUCCCUCAAUAGUUUUAUAGCAAGCAAAUGCUUCUCACCUAGCCUAGCAUGUUAUAAAACUUCCAAACUAACAACUAUAGGAUAAAAAUGUGAAACAUCCCAUUGCAGAUGGCCAAAAUGGCCAUCUAUGUUGUUGCAUGGACAUUUUGGCCAUCUAUAUUGUUGCAAGCAUCGGGGGGUCAUGUUUUAAUGCCUAGAGGUUUAAAGGACCGACCAUACCAUGAUACUACCCCUACCAAUGUACCAAGGCAUGUAUCAUGGAACAUAUCAUACCAUGGAACCAUAUUAACAAACAGAGAGUACCAAGGCAUGAAUUGCGGUUCAUGUAGUACCAUGGAACUAUAUCAAGUCUAAGGGGGUAUACUGCAGUAUGUACCAUCCAAUACAUGACCAAUAUGCCCAUGUAUCGUGGUACUUCAAACUCUAUUGAAUUUCAUUAAACAAGAGUCAACAGUCCGGACUUCUAACUAGUCCUCAUAGAAAAUGCUUUAGACAAAAAUAUGUAGCUAAAUUAAACUCAUAACAAUUAAAAAAUGGUGAUAAAUGCAAUCUAUCAACAAUUGUAGUUUCCCAGCCUCAUAUUUUGCAUUCACAAUGAUCAUAUCAUUCAAAAAAAAUUGCAAAUAUUGGAGCUAAAUCACCACCUUUGUAAAAUGUAAAAACAAAUCAGGAAAACAAGAUUCUCUUCUGGUUGGAUGAUCAGGCGAUAGUAAAUUGAAAAACUGGAACACAACUGUUCUACUUCACUAAAUAACUCCAAAAGAUAAUGUAAAUUAUGUAAUUUAAGUUUCUUACAACAUUUUUCUCUUCUACAUACAUAGAUCACUAUUGCACAAGAAUACAUCAAAAUCUUAGCAGUCAGAAGUAGAAAUUUCCAGCCUCAAACAAC
Molecule: long non-coding RNA, 2460 nt
Filed under: Elaeis guineensis (African oil palm)
Lineage: Eukaryota; Viridiplantae; Streptophyta; Magnoliopsida; Arecales; Arecaceae
Description: long non-coding RNA (EGUI_LNC029083)
Source: RNAcentral